This 554-nucleotide unclassified non-coding RNA is filed under the name Hevea brasiliensis (rubber tree). The record is from RNAcentral. Lineage: Eukaryota; Viridiplantae; Streptophyta; Magnoliopsida; Malpighiales; Euphorbiaceae.
GGGGCACUGUGCCUCUGCAAAAACCAAAGGAGGUUGAGGUUGAAACUCUUCCUCUCUCACAAAACCUUCCAUUAUCGCCAUCUUCACAAAGCUCAAACCCUCUCUUUACUCUUUACUCUACUUGCCGGAGCCGCUCCGGAGCUCAAUUCAAUCCAAUCAUGAACGACGACGAUGCAUGUGGAGUUAUGGAGGCUCAGUACAUACGCAGGCAUCACCGUCACCAUCCCAACGACAAUCAGUGUACCUCCGCCGUUUUCAAGAACGUCAGAGCUCCGGUUCCUCUUGUUUGGUCACUGGUGAGGAGAUUCGAUCAGCCCCAGAAGUAUAAGCCUUUUGUUAGUCGUUGUGUUGUGAAAGGAGACCUGGGCAUUGGAAGUGUAAGGGAAGUGAAUGUGAAAUCUGGUCUUCCUGCAACCACUAGUACUGAGAGGUUGGAGCUUCUUGAUGAUGAAGAACACAUUCUCGGAAUCAGAAUCGUCGGUGGAGAUCACAGGCUGAAAAACUACUCUUCCAUCAUGACUGUCCAUCCAAAGGUUAUCGAUGGAAGACCUGGG